Molecule: ribosomal RNA, 688 nt
Filed under: uncultured bacterium
Lineage: Bacteria
Description: bacterial SSU rRNA
Rfam family: Bacterial small subunit ribosomal RNA
Source: RNAcentral
GUCGAACGGAACUGUUUUGAAAGAUUUCUUCGGAAUGAAUUUGAUUUAGUUUAGUGGCGGACGGGUGAGUAACGCGUGAGUAACCUGCCUUCAAGAGGGGGAUAACAUUCUGAAAAGAAUGCUAAUACCGCAUGACAUAUCGGAAUCACAUGGUUUUGAUAUCAAAGAUUUUAUCGCUUGAAGAUGGACUCGCGUCCGAUUAGUUAGUUGGUGAGGUAACGGCUCACCAAGACCGCGAUCGGUAGCCGGACUGAGAGGUUGAACGGCCACAUUGGGACUGAGACACGGCCCAGACUCCUACGGGAGGCAGCAGUGGGGGAUAUUGCGCAAUGGGGGCAACCCUGACGCAGCAACGCCGCGUGAAGGAUGAAGGUUUUCGGAUUGUAAACUUCUUUUAUUAAGGACGAAACUUGACGGUACUUAAUGAAUAAGCUCCGGCUAACUACGUGCCAGCAGCCGCGGUAAUACGUAGGGAGCAAGCGUUGUCCGGAUUUCCUGGGUGUAAAGGGUGCGUAGGCGGCUUUGCAAGUCAGAUGUGAAAUCUAUGGGCUCAACCCAUAAACUGCAUUUGAAACUGUAGAGCUUGAGAGAAGUAGAGGCAGGCGGAAUUCCCCGUGUAGCGGUGAAAUGCGUAGAGAUGGGGAGGAACACCAGUGGCGAAGGCGGCCUGCUGGGCUUUAACUGACGC